GAUUUCAGUACAGCGAGACAUGAAUUAAUUCGAUGAACAAAAAUAAGUGAGACGCACUUUAUCAUGUUUAAGUAUCACAGGAACAUAUGGAUGUCACUUGUUCGGCUCUCGCGCAUCUGAACCCUGAACCUUGGGAAAUCAGAUGAUUAACCACGCAAAAUUAACUUUUUUCAGAUAACUGACCAGUGUGCGGAAAUAUAGAAGAAAAUGGAGGUGACUGGUCGGAAGCCUGAAAGGUCAUUCAAGGAUUCUGUAGGUAGAUCGUCUGCUGAAGACUGGGAAGUCUUCUGUCAACCUUGUAGCAGCGAUGGAGACUGGAGGUUGCCAUUGGAUACUGUGAAAACUGCAAAGAAUAUUUAUGUAUUAUGUGUUUGAAGGUACAUCGUAAACAAGCGAUGUCCAGAAAUCAUAAAGUCCUUGAAGGUGAAAACAUGCCAAAGUCCCGUUUGUCAUCUGUGACACUCAAUGCUUGUUCUGAAUUGUGUGCCAAACAUGCAAAUGAGAUAGUGAAAUUAUAUUGCUCAGCACAUGAUGUGGUGAGGUGCGGGGAUUGCAUGUUGCUGGACCAUAAAUCGUGUAACGUGGAUCGUAUAUAAGAUAUAUCAAUGAACUACCUCAAUGGCGAUGAACAUCAAGAAAUCCAACAGAAGGUAGACCAAUUCCUACAGAACAUAGAACAAGUAAAGAGACUGAUACAAACCAAUGACAAAAACAUUCAACACACAUAUAUGAAAGCAGUAAAUGAUCUAAAUACAUUUAAGAAAGAAAUACUGGAAUAUCUAGAUAAGGCAGAGGCGGACAUGCUGGCGCAAUUGAGAAAAGGGAAAAGGAGUGACGAAAAGCUGGUAUCAGAUCUGAAAAAGAAAAGACCAUGAGAGGUAAUAUCCAAGUGUUGCAAGAGAAACUACAAUCACAGUUAAAUCAUGCAAAUCAGUUUAAACUAGGCGAAUUACUGGUAAAGAGGGCAAUAAUAGGACAGGUAAUGGUAAACAAGACAUCUGUGGACAAGAAAGAUAUUACAGAAAUGGAACCGCAGUUUGAUAGUGAAAUUGGAAUAAAGGCAUCGGAUGACACGGAAGAUUGUGCAAUUAAUGCCUGUACUCUUAUUUCGUACAAUCGGAUUAUAUUAGCAGGUCGUAGUAACAAAUGCUUGAAAAUUGUUGAUAUUGACAACAGAAAUAUAGCCGGAAAAUACAAACUUUAAAGCAAACCGUAUGGACUGGCAGUUAUUACUGUUACAUUUCCUGAUGAAAAGAAAAUAAAGUUUCUGACACUCACGCAGUGUGACAAAAUCACUGAAAGCAGCGUCAUAAAAGUGAAGGGCCCGUGUUUGAACAUUGCUUACCAGGAAAAUAAGAUAAUGGUGUUAUACGAUGAUCGUGUUGUUAUUCUGAAUAUGGUUUGGGAAGAGAUAACAAUUAUAUCCAUUUCGAAUAAGUAAUUGCCAAUGGAAAUCGCUCUUGGCUCUAAAUCCUUUUAUUGAUAAUUGUUGUAAUCCAAGUGUUUCCAGAUUUAUUUUGGAGGCAAUCUUAUUGCAAAAUACAAGGAUAAGGAUCUCAUAGAUGUAAGAGGACUCUUUGUAACAAGAUGUGAUACAGAUCUUGUUUGUAACUGGGAAAGAGCUGGAAGUAUUCAUAUGAUUUCACCAGAGUGCGAGAAGUUGAAAACAAUUCUGCAGCAAUCUGAUCAUGUUAGUUACCCAUUUUGCGUUUCUUUCUGCGAUGAAACCAACAGACUUUUUCUUUGUAACAACAAAAUAACUACAAUUGAUCCAAAACUGAAAAAUGUUAUAAACAUAUUCCAAUUCAAACCAUACCAAAAUUAAUUAAGAUUUGGAAUAGAAAUUUCGACUUUCAGCGGAAACUGUCUGAAAAUAUGAAAAUUUGAUCAUUAAUGCCUAUUUCACAUAUAACCCGGGCGCCGUGCGAUAAAUACGUCUUCGAUUUUCCUUGCGGUUUUCUGGGGCAUCGUAGGUGACUACGGCGUGUGUGUUCACAUUAUAUACGAGCAUCUUGCAAUUUUUUUACAGGUUCUUGGGGGAAGGCCGGAAGAAAUCCGCACGGACGCUGUGCGGAGAUGAUACUGAAAUUGGGCAAUUUUAGUGCAGUUGCCGUUCAGUCUCCGCAAUCUUCCCAUGGAAAAUAUACGACGCCCGUACGGCUUCCGUGCAGAGAUUGUACGGAGAAGAUAGGAAGAUGGUGCAGCCGCCAUGACGAAUAAUGAAAACAUGCUGGAGAUGGUCAAUAUAUACAACCAUCUGAAAAAUGUUUUGCCCAUAUCAAGGCCACUGUAGGGUUGCCGCACGAUAAUUGCGGUUACAGCACGGGACGCCUGCGGCAACCUCGCGACAGCUGUACGAAGGUCGUACGAAGGCCCUACAGUCUACAAUCUCCGUACAAUUUCUUUUGGCCACCAUGUCCACGGAAAGUCGUACGAUGCCCUUGCGUGGAUUGUGCAAUGCCACCUGCGACAUGUCUACGAACAUUUAACUUUCAUUCUUUAAAAGAUAGAAAUUGAUAUUAGAUAUCGGAAAUGAUGAACCAGU
Molecule: long non-coding RNA, 2545 nt
Organism: Mercenaria mercenaria
Lineage: Eukaryota; Metazoa; Mollusca; Bivalvia; Venerida; Veneridae
Exons: 3
Source: RefSeq, a predicted model, not a curated record